UUGUCCCGCCGAGACUUUUGCACGUGUAACACGCGUUAUUUCUUGUUUCUUUCAAUAACGUAUUUUUGUAUAAUAGUAAGUUUUAAUAUAUCAUUUCGUGGGAAAUGAACGUGAAGUGGUUGUAAUGUGAUCGUGAGGGUUUGAUUUAAUUAUAAAGGUGUAUAGUUUUAUAUUUUGAGGUUAUCUUGUAUUCGUAAUGGCGUGCUAUGAAUUUUGGUUAUACGAAUUUCGAUCAGUAAUUUUUAAUGUUAUGUUGAGUCAUGGACACGAAAGCGUCUUCGCCUGUGCGAACUGUCGCAAGAGGAGGAAGAUAUGUGAAUGGUUCAAGAUGACGUGAUCGACGUGCAUGUGUGAACAUGUGCGAAGGAAAAUGCUGAAGGGGCGGUUUUCCACACAAGUAGGCCCAGUGGCUCCUUCGUCGGCGUCGUGUCCUGAUGAUCCUUUGAUGAUUUGAUUUUAUUUGACAAUAUAAGAUAUAUUUUGCUUAUUAUGGAUUUGUAUGUCCAUAUUUGCUAUA
Molecule: long non-coding RNA, 517 nt
Organism: Bombus terrestris (buff-tailed bumblebee)
Lineage: Eukaryota; Metazoa; Arthropoda; Insecta; Hymenoptera; Apidae
Exons: 3
Source: RefSeq, a predicted model, not a curated record